AUUGAACGCUGGCGGCAGGCCUAACACAUGCAAGUCGAGCGGAGCGGCGGUAGGGUGAGUAAUGCCUAGGAAUCUGCCUGGUAGUGGGGGAUAACGUUCGGAAACGGGGACUAAAACUGCAUCCUUUCAAAUGAGGCUAGGCCGUAUUAGCAUGUUGUUGGGGUAAAGGCCAACCGUGGCGACGAUCCGUAACUGGACUGUGUGGAUGAUGAGUCACACUGGAACUGAGACACGGUCCAGACGCCUACGGGAGGGAGAAGGGUGGAAUAUUGGACAAUGGGCGAAAGCCUGAGGCAGCCAUGGCGCGUGUAUGAAGAAGGCCUUCGGGGUGUAAAGUACUUUCAGCGGGGAGGCGUUACCCGCAGAAGAAGCACCGGCUAACUCCGUGCCAGCAGCCGCGGUAAUAC
Molecule: ribosomal RNA, 407 nt
Filed under: uncultured bacterium
Lineage: Bacteria
Description: partial 16S ribosomal RNA
Rfam family: Bacterial small subunit ribosomal RNA
Source: RNAcentral